GAUGAAGAACGCAGCGAAAUGCGAUAAGUAAUGUGAAUUGCAGAAUUCAGUGAAUCAUCGAAUCUUUGAACGCACAUUGCGCCCCCUGGUAUUCCGGGGGGCAUGCCUGUUCGAGCGUCAUUUCACCACUCAAGCCUCGCUUGGUAUUGGGCAACGCGGUCCGCCGCGUGCCUCAAAUCGACCGGCUGGGUCUUCUGUCCCCUAAGAGUUGUGGAAACUAUUCGCUAAAGGGUGCUCGGGAGGCUACGCCGUAAAACAAACCCAUUUCUAAGGUUGACCUCGGAUCAGGUAGGGAUACCCGCUGAACUUAAGCAUAUCAAUAAGCGGAGGA
Molecule: unclassified non-coding RNA, 331 nt
Filed under: soil metagenome
Description: partial contains 5.8S ribosomal RNA, internal transcribed spacer 2, and large subunit ribosomal RNA
Rfam family: 5.8S ribosomal RNA (bases 1-120)
Source: RNAcentral